GAUGAACGCUGGCGGCGUGCCUAAUACAUGCAAGUCGAGCGAACGGACGAGAAGCUUGCUUCUCUGAUGUUAGCGGCGGACGGGUGAGUAACACGUGGAUAACCUACCUAUAAGACUGGGAUAACUUCGGGAAACCGGAGAUAAUACCGGAUAAUAUUUUGAACGGCAUGGUUCAAAAGUGAAAGACGGUCUUGCUGUCACUUAUAGAUGGAUCCGCGCUGCAUUAGCUAGUUGGUAAGGUAACGGCUUACCAAGGCAACGAUGCAUAGCCGACCUGAGAGGGUGAUCGGCCACACUGGAACUGAGACACGGUCCAGACUCCUACGGGAGGCAGCAGUAGGGAAUCUUCCGCAAUGGGCGAAAGCCUGACGGAGCAACGCCGCGUGAGUGAUGAAGGUCUUCGGAUCGUAAAACUCUGUUAUUAGGGAAGAACAUAUGUGUAAGUAACUGUGCACAUCUUGACGGUACCUAAUCAGAAAGCCACGGCUAACUACGUG
RNAcentral lists this ribosomal RNA (497 nucleotides) under uncultured bacterium. RNAcentral's name for it is "partial 16S ribosomal RNA". It matches the Rfam family "Bacterial small subunit ribosomal RNA", at positions 28 to 507 of the family's 1533-position model. The record is from RNAcentral.